ACUUGCCUUUCCGUUUGGCGGCAGCCAUCAGGUGAGCCGAGAUGGGCGCUUACAAGUACAUCCAGGAGCUGUGGAGGAAGAAGCAGUCGGACGUGAUGCGCUUUCUGCUCAGGGUGCGCUGCUGGCAGUACCGCCAGCUCUCGGCGCUGCACCGGGCCCCGCGCCCCACCCGGCCCGACAAGGCGCGCAGGCUGGGCUACAAGGCCAAGAAAGGUUAUGUGAUAUAUCGGGUUCGCGUGCGCCGCGGUGGCCGCAAACGCCCGGUCCCGAAGGGCGCCACCUACGGCAAGCCCGUCCACCAUGGCGUCAACCAGCUCAAGAUUGGCCGGAGCCUUAAGUCUGUUGCCGAGGAGCGAGCGGGGCGCCACUGUGGGGCCCUGAGGAUCCUGAAUUCUUACUGGGUGGGUGAAGAUUCUACGUACAAAUUUUUUGAGGUUAUCCUCAUUGAUCCCUUCCAUAAAGCUAUCAGAAGAAACCCUGACACCCAGUGGAUCACCAAGCCAGUCCACAAGCACAGGGAGAUGCGGGGGCUGACGUCUGCAGGCAGGAAGAGCCGCGGCCUCGGCAAGGGCCACAAGUUCCACCACACGAUCGGUGGUUCUCGCCGCGCAGCCUGGAGAAGGUGCAAUACUCUCCAGGUCCACCGCUACCGCUAAUAUAAGUAAUGUUUGUAAAAUUCUUACCUAAUAAACAGUUUAGGACAUCCA
Molecule: RNA transcript, 707 nt
Organism: Aethalodelphis obliquidens (Pacific white-sided dolphin)
Lineage: Eukaryota; Metazoa; Chordata; Mammalia; Artiodactyla; Delphinidae
Gene name: 60S ribosomal protein L15 pseudogene
Exons: 1
Source: RefSeq, a predicted model, not a curated record